This 524-nucleotide ribosomal RNA is filed under the name uncultured bacterium. Its description in RNAcentral is "partial 16S ribosomal RNA". It matches the Rfam family "Bacterial small subunit ribosomal RNA", at positions 28 to 523 of the family's 1533-position model. The record is from RNAcentral.
GACGAACGCUGGCGGCGUGCCUAAUACAUGCAAGUCGAGCGCAGGAAACUGACGGAACUCUUCGGAGGGAAGGCAGCGGAAUGAGCGGCGGACGGGUGAGUAACACGUAAGGAACCUGCCUCAAGGAUUGGGAUAACUCCGAGAAAUCGGAGCUAAUACCGGAUAGUUCAACGGACCGCAUGGUCCGUUGAUGAACGGCGCCCCGGCGUCACCUUGAAAUGGCCUUGCGGUGCAUUAGCUAGUUGGUGGGGUAACGGCCCACCAAGGCGACGAUGCAUAGCCGACCUGAGAGGGUGAUCGGCCACACUGGGACUGAGACACGGCCCAGACUCCUACGGGAGGCAGCAGUAGGGAAUCUUCCACAAUGGACGAAAGUCUGAUGGAGCAACGCCGCGUGAGUGAUGAAGGUUUUCGGAUCGUAAAACUCUGUUGUAAGGGAAGAACACGUACGAGAGGGAAUGCUCGUACCUUGACGGUACCUUACGAGAAAGCCACGGCUAACUACGUGCCAGCCGCCGCCGUAA